This 275-nucleotide ribosomal RNA is filed under the name uncultured bacterium. RNAcentral describes it as "partial 16S ribosomal RNA". It matches the Rfam family "Bacterial small subunit ribosomal RNA", at positions 399 to 691 of the family's 1533-position model. The record is from RNAcentral.
GCGUGAGUGAUGAAGGCCUUAGGGUUGUAAAGCUCUUUUACCCGGGAUGAUAAUGACAGUACCGGGAGAAUAAGCUCCGGCUAACUCCGUGCCAGCAGCCGCGGUAAUACGGAGGGAGCUAGCGUUGUUCGGAAUUACUGGGCGUAAAGCGCGCGUAGGCGGCUUUGCAAGUUAGAGGUGAAAGCCCGGAGCUCAACUUCGGAAUUGCCUUUAAAACUGCAUCGCUGGAAUCCGGGAGAGGUGAGUGGAAUUCCGAGUGUAGAGGUGAAAUUCGU